RNAcentral lists this ribosomal RNA (474 nucleotides) under uncultured bacterium. Its description in RNAcentral is "bacterial SSU rRNA". It matches the Rfam family "Bacterial small subunit ribosomal RNA", at positions 43 to 524 of the family's 1533-position model. The record is from RNAcentral.
CAGGCCUAACACAUGCAAGUCGAACGGAUGUAGCAAUACAUUAGUGGCGCACGGGUGCGUAAUACGUAACUAACCUACCCAGAACUGGGGGAUAGCCCGCCGAAAGGCGGAUUAAUACCGCAUAACACGAGGUGGCGGCAUCGUCUCUUCGUUAAAGAUUUAUUGGUUUUGGAUGGGGUUGCGGGUCAUUAGCUAGUUGGGUAGGUAACGGCUGCCCAAGGCGACGAUGACUAGGGGAGCUGAGAGGCUGGUCCCCCACACGGGCACUGAGAUACGGGCCCGACUCCUACGGGAGGCAGCAGUAGGGAAUAUUGGGCAAUGGGCGAGAGCCUGACCCAGCCAUGCCGCGUGCAGGACGAAGGCUUUCUGAGUCGUAAACUGCUUUUGACAGGGAAGAAUAAGGCUUACGUGUAAGCUGAUGACGGUACCUGCAGAAUAAGCACCGGCUAACUCCGUGCCAGCAGCCGCGGUAAU